AUGGGCGAACCAAAUGGCAAUGAAAAUGCUAUGGUGCAUGAGAGUGAAAUGGUUGUUGAUGAUGAGAUGAUCCAUGGCAAUGAAAUGGUUCACAGUGGCGAGAUGAUCCAUGAGCAUGAUAUGGUUCAAGGGAAUGAGAUGGUUCAUGGUGACGAGAUGGUGGAAGGGAGUGGGAUGGUCCAUGAUGAUGAGAUGAUCCAUGGUAAUGAGAUGAUUCAAGUUAGUGACAUGAUCCAUGGUCAUGAGAUGGUUCAAGUGAAUGACAUGGUCAAUGGUGAUGAGAUGGCCCAUGGUCACGAAUUGGUCAGUGCUGAGGUGACCCCACCAACCAUAUCAAGACGCCGGAGAAAGAAGUCAUUAGUAUGGGAGCACUUUACUAUUGAACCUGUUCCUGGGGAGAGGGGAUGCCAACGUGCAUGCUGCAACCUAUGCAAGGCAACCUUUGCAUACAGUUCUGGCACAAAGAUAGCAGGUACUAGCCAUCUCAAGAGGCACAUCACGCUUGGCUCUUGCCCUAUGAUAAAAAGCCAAGAGAGGAAGCUGGCAAUGAGUUCAAUUGGAGGAGUGACUGACAACGAUGGUGAGGGUACCGUAGAACGUCCUUCUAAGAGGCGUUACAGAUAUACUGGCUUUGCAAAUACUACAUUUGAUCAAGACCGUAGCAGCUCACAUCUGGCGAAGCUUAUCAUUUUGCAUGACUACCCACUUCAUGUUGUUCAACAGCCAGCCUUCACUGCUUUUACUGAUAGCCUGCAGCCUCGUUUCAGGGUUGCGGAUGUUGAAACAAUGGAGGCAGAGGUGUAUGGUGUUUACCAGAAAGAGAAAAACAACCUAAUGCAAGCAUUGAACACUAUGCCUGGAAGGAUUAGCCUCACCAUAGGAUUGUGGACAACUAGUCAGACUCUUGGCUAUGUUUCUAUAGCUGGGCAGUUCAUUGACACGGAUUGGAAAGUGCAUCGAAGAAUGCUUAACUUCAUGAUGGUGUCUUCUCCUCAUUCGGAGAAUGCACUUGGUGAAGCUAUUAGCUCAAGCCUUACCGACUGGAACAUGAAGGACAAGCUAUUCACCGUCACAUUGGAUAAUGAUUGCUCAUCACAUGAUAUCUACAGUGCAAAUCUGAGAGAUCAUCUCUCCAAUAAGAACAACCUGAUGCUUAAGGGCCAGCUGUUUGUUGUGAGGUGCUAUGCCAAUAUCCUCAAUGCAGUUGCACAUGAUGUCAUUGCUUCAAUCCAUGGUGUGAUCUACAGUAUCCGUGAAAGUAUAAAGUUCAUAAAAGCUUCUUCUGCCCGUGAGCAGAGGUUUGCUGAGAUUGCUCUGCAGCUGGAGAUUCCCAGCACUAAGACCCUGUGCCUUGAUGUUACAAUACAGUGGAAUACCACUUACCUUAUGCUGAUUGCUGCCUUGGAUUAUAGGCAGGCAUUCACCACAUUGGAGACAUGUGAUGGUAACUACAACGAGUCACCUUCUGCAGAAGACUGGAAGAAGUUGGAAGCUGCCUGCAAUUAUUUGAAAUUUCUGUAUGAUUCUGCACAUAGCAUCAUGGCUGCGGCAAAUCCAACUUCUAACUUAUUUUUCCAUGAGGCGUGGAAACUUCAGCUGGAACUGUCAAAUGCCAUAACCCAUGAAGAUCCAGUUUUCAGUAGCAUCGCCAAAGAAAUGCAUGAGAGGUUUGACAAGUACUGGAAGGAUUGCAACCUUGUUCUAGCCAUUGGUGUUGUCAUGGACCCUCGUUUCAAGAUGAAACUUGUUGAAUUCAGUUAUUCUAAAAUCUAUGGUGUGGAGGCAGCAAAGUACGUUAAGGUGGUGGAUGAUGCUCUUCAUGACCUUUACAAGGAUUAUGUUGCACAGCCCCUGCCCCUGACGCCAGCCUAUGGCGCACCAGGGGAAGUUAAUAAGAAUGGGCCUGCCCAUGCGAAUAACAACACAGUAACUCCACCUUCUACUGGGGAUGGACUUCUUGACUUUGACAUGUAUCUUUCAGAGAUAGCAAUAAGUCAGCCCUCCAAGUCCGAGCUGGAGCAGUACCUGGAAGAAGCCCUGACGCCCCGCAUCCAAGACUUUGAAAUCGUGGACUGGUGGAAGCUCAACACCCUGAAGUUUCCAACACUGGCGAAGAUGGCCCGUGAUAUCUUGGCCAUCCCCAUGUCCAUGGUGAGCAGCGGCUGCUCCAUAUUUGCCGCGGCAACAACAGGAAGCCGGAUGCUCGAUGACUACAGAAGCUCGCUGCGCCCUGAAAUCGUGGAGGCACUUUUCUGCUCCAAAGACUGGCUUCAGUAUUCUCCGCCGCCUCCUGCAGAAGCUCAGGGUUCUGUAGCGGUGAAGAUGGAGUGA
Molecule: ribosomal RNA, 2331 nt
Filed under: Triticum aestivum (bread wheat)
Lineage: Eukaryota; Viridiplantae; Streptophyta; Magnoliopsida; Poales; Poaceae
Description: partial small subunit ribosomal RNA
Source: RNAcentral